CUCAUGUUUGUUUAUUUUUAUAGCCAUUGCAUUGGUCAGUUAUGGAGUUGAGGUCAUGACUUGGUUUGACUAUUAUAGUUAUAUUUGCAUUGUAUGUAUUUGUUUUAGUUCUUUGUUUUUCUAAGUUGGUUUGUAGAUAUUAAAGUAAUUAUGGUGUACCCGGUUUUAGUUUUGCACUUGUGUGCAAAUACAUAAUUGGUUUGACUAUUAUAGUCCUAUUUUCAUUGUAUGUAUUUAUUUUUAAAAUACUAAAUCUUAAAGUUGGAUUAGAGUGCACCUAAUUCCUUUCUUAUUUGAUUCACAUUAUAGUUUUUGAUGAAUGCAUUAUUUAGCUUCACAAAUAAUGCCAAUAUUUCAAGUUUAUGUUAU
RNAcentral lists this long non-coding RNA (369 nucleotides) under Helianthus annuus (common sunflower). RNAcentral describes it as "sRNA HanXRQr2_Chr03g0121641". Lineage: Eukaryota; Viridiplantae; Streptophyta; Magnoliopsida; Asterales; Asteraceae. The record is from RNAcentral.